CACAGGCUUGGUCCUGGCCUUACUGUCGGCUCUAGUUAAAAUUACACAUGCAAGUAUCUGCACACCCGUGAGGAUUCCCACAGCCACCUAUGUGGUGACGUGGAGUAGGUAUCAGGCACGACCACUCAGCCCAAGACACCUUGUUCAACCACACCCCCAAGGGUACUCAGCAGUGAUAAACAUUAAGCCAUAAGCGAAAGCUUUACUCAGUUAAGACUAAGAGGGCUGGUAAAGCCCGUGCCAGCCACCGCGGUUACACGGACAGCCCAAGUUGACAGACUGACGGCGUAAAGGGUGGUUAGGGAGAUAUAUAAACUAAAGCCGAAGAUCCCCAAGACUGUAGUACGUCACCUCGGAGGAAAGAAGAUCAACUACGAAAGUGGCUUUACAACACCUGACCCCACGAAAGCCAGGGCACAAACUGGGAUUAGAUACCCCACUAUGCUUGGCCCUAAACAUUGAAUAAAUUUAACCAAUUUGUUCCGCCUGAGAAUUACGGACACUAGCCUAAAAAUCAAAGGACUUGGCGGUGCUUUAAACCCCCCUAGAGGAGCCUGUCCUAUAACCGAUAAUCCCCGUUAAACCUCACCUUCUCUAGCCUUAUCCACCUAUAUACCGCCGUCGUCAGCUUACCCUGAGAAGGGAAAGUAGUAUGCAAAGUUGGCACAGCCCAAAACGUCAGGCCGAGGUGUAGUAAAUGAGAAGGGAAGAGAUGGGCUACAUUUGCUAAAUACAAGCAAACACGGAUGAAUUAUUGAAACAUAAUACUGAAGGAGGAUUUAGUAGUAAGGGGGAAGCAGAGUGCCCCCCUGAAACCGGCCCUGAAGCGCGCACACACCGCCCGUCACCCUCACCAAGCACAAGCACGUCAAUAACUAAUACAUUAUCUUGCACAAGGGGAGGAAAGUCGUAACAUGGUAAGUGUACCGGAAGGUGUACUUGGAAAAUA
RNAcentral lists this non-coding RNA (949 nucleotides) under Arnoglossus tenuis (dwarf lefteye flounder). Its description in RNAcentral is "12S ribosomal RNA". It matches the Rfam family "Bacterial small subunit ribosomal RNA". Lineage: Eukaryota; Metazoa; Chordata; Actinopteri; Pleuronectiformes; Bothidae. The record is from RNAcentral.